UAUAAGACGAGAAGACCCCAUGGAGCUUUAAACCCAACAGCACCCGUUUAUUUUCAUCCUCACAUAAGUUAGGUUAUGCCUGUUUGGUUUUAGGUUGGGGUGACCACGGAGUAUAAAACAACCUCCAUGAAAAAAGGACCAAAAAUCCUUAUUAGAGAAAGACAUUUCUAAAAUUAAUAAAUUAAUUUUUAAUGAUCCGAUAUUCGAUCAACGAACCAAGUUACCCUGGGGAUAACAGCGCAAUCCACUUCAAGAGCUCCUAUCGACAAGUGGGUUUACGACCUCGAUGUUGGAUCAGGGUAUCCUAGUGGUGCAGCAGCUACUAACGGUUCGUUUGUUCAACGAUUAAAACCCU
RNAcentral lists this ribosomal RNA (355 nucleotides) under Boophis elenae. Its description in RNAcentral is "partial 16S ribosomal RNA". It matches the Rfam family "Bacterial large subunit ribosomal RNA", at positions 2076 to 2597 of the family's 2925-position model. Lineage: Eukaryota; Metazoa; Chordata; Amphibia; Anura; Mantellidae. The record is from RNAcentral.